UUCGAGCUGAACUGUGAGAAAUUUGCCAUGGAGCUACGCUAUGGAAUUUCCUAUCAUGCUCAGGAGAAGGAUCCCUUUGAGGUGCUGGUAGAUAGUGGUGGUGUGUGAAUCAGCGAUGUUCGAGGGACUACUACGCGGGAAAUGGAAAGAGGGGACUCUCAGCCGACUCAAGCCCAGACCACUGUUGGGCAGCAGGAAUUUCCCCGCAAGUCUAUGCCGCCCGUGCUGCCCCUUCCUGCUGGUGGACAGAGAUUUAAUAAAGGG
Sorex fumeus (smoky shrew) is the source of this 264-nucleotide long non-coding RNA. RefSeq lists it as uncharacterized. The transcript is spliced from 3 exons. The record is from RefSeq and is a predicted model, not a curated record. NCBI's taxonomy places the organism in Eukaryota, Metazoa, Chordata, Mammalia, Eulipotyphla, Soricidae.